Molecule: transfer RNA, 82 nt
Filed under: Ixodes scapularis (black-legged tick)
Lineage: Eukaryota; Metazoa; Arthropoda; Arachnida; Ixodida; Ixodidae
Rfam family: tRNA
About the family: Transfer RNA (tRNA) molecules are approximately 80 nucleotides in length. Their secondary structure includes four short double-helical elements and three loops (D, anti-codon, and T loops). Further hydrogen bonds mediate the characteristic L-shaped molecular structure. tRNAs have two regions of fundamental functional importance: the anti-codon, which is responsible for specific mRNA codon recognition, and the 3' end, to which the tRNAs corresponding amino acid is attached (by aminoacyl-tRNA synthetases). tRNAs cope with the degeneracy of the genetic code in two manners: having more than one tRNA (with a specific anti-codon) for a particular amino acid; and 'wobble' base-pairing, i.e. permitting non-standard base-pairing at the 3rd anti-codon position.
Source: Rfam by way of RNAcentral
GCAGUCGUGGCCGAGUGGUUAAGGCGAUGGACAAGAAAUCCAUUGUGGUCUCCCCGCACAGGUUCGAAUCCUGUCGACUGCG